UCAAGCUAAUAAGAGCACAGGGUGGAUGCCCAGGCACCAAACGCCGAUGAAAGACGUGGCAAGCUGCGAAAAGUCACGGGGAAUCGCAAGCAGGUAUUGAUCCGUGAACGUCUGAAUGGGGAAACCCGACGGGUUAACAGCCCGUCACUAUUAACUGAAUCAAUAGGUUAAUAGGGGGAACGCGGGGAACUGAAACAUCUCAGUACCCGUAGGAAGAGAAAAUAAAGAAUGAUUUCCUAAGUAGCGGCGAGCGAACGGGAAAGAGGCCAAACCGAAGGGCUUGCUCUUCGGGGUUGUGGAUCAGCAAAAAGGACGGAAGACCUUAGCAGAAGAGGAUUGGAAAGUCCCGCCAGAGAGGGUAAAAGCCCCUUACGCGAAAAGGUCAAACGACGAGCUGACACCAGAGUACCGCAGGACACGAGAAAUCCGGUGGGAAGCCGGGAGGACCACCUCCCAAGCCUAAAUACGAAUUGGUGACCGAUAGCGCAUAGUACCGUGAGGGAAAGGUGAAAAGAACCCCGGGAGGGGAGUGAAAAAGAACCUGAAACCCUGUGUUUACAAGCAGUGAAAGUGCGAGCAAGGCACGAUCACGUACUUUUUGUAGAACGGACCGGCGAGUUACGUUAUGCAGCAAGGUUAAGAACUGAAGGUUCGGAGCCGAAGCGAAAGCGAGUCUGAACAGGGCGAUAGUUGCAUGACGUAGACCCGAAACCGGGUGACCUAUCCAUGAGCAGGUUGAAGUGGAGGUAAAGCUCCAUGGAGGACCGAACCAGACGUCUGUUGAAAAAGGCGGGGAUGACUUGUGGAUAGGGGAGAAAUUCCAAUCGAACCCGGAGAUAGCUGGUUCUCCUCGAAAUAGCUUUAGGGCUAGCCUCAUGGAUCAUUGGUGGGGGUAGAGCACUGAAUGUGCGCGGGGGCCACAAAGCCUACCAAACGCUAUCAAACUACGAAUACCAUACAAUGCAGACCAUGGGAGUCAGUCCGCGAGAGAUAAGUUCCGCGGGCAAAAGGGGAACACCCCAGAUCAACCGCUAAGGUCCCCAAGUUCACGUUAAGUGGAGAAGGAUGUGGAAUUGCACAGACAACCAGGAUGUUGGCUCAGAAGCAGCCACACAUUUAAAGAGUGCGUAAUAGCUCACUGGUCGAGUGAUUGUGCGCCGAAGAUGUCCGGGGCUAAACGUGACACCGAAGCGAUGGGUGCAUCUGAAAGGAUGCGCGGUAGAGGAGCAAUGUGCAGAGGCAGAAGCCGUAUCGAGAGGCACGGUGGACACUGCACAAGAGAGAAUGCCGGUAUGAGUAGCGAGAGGCAUGCGAGAAACAUGCCCGUCGAAAGCCCAAGGUUUCCUGGGGAAGGUUCAUCCGCCCAGGGUAAGUCGGGGCCUAAGCCGAGGACGGAAGUCGUAGGCGAUGGACAGCAGGUGUAGAUUCCUGCACUACCGAUGGAAUGAAGCAGUGACACAGAAGGAUAACUCGAGCAGGGUGAUGGUCAACCCUGUGCAAGCAUCAAGGUUGGGUUGUAGUGAAGUACGCAACCCUACAAGCUGAGGUGUGAUGCGGACCGAAAUUUUAGUAGGGAAGCGAGUGAGUUCACGCUGGCGAGAAAAGCUGCUAGUACAUCCAAAGGUACCCGUACCGGAAACCGACGCAGGUGGGCGAGGAGAGAAUCCUGAGACGAACGGGAGAACCCUUGUUAAGGAACUCGGCAAAAUGACCCCGUAACUUCGGGAUAAGGGGUGCCUGCGAGAGCAGGCCGCAGAGAAUAGUCACAAGCGACUGUUUAGCAAAAACACAGGUAUCUGCGAAAGCGAGAGCUGACGUAUAGGUGCUGACACCUGCCCGGUGCUGGAAGGUUAAGGGAACAUGUUAGAGCAAUCGAAGCAUCGAACCGAAGCCCCAGUAAACGGCGGCCGUAACUAUAACGGUCCUAAGGUAGCGAAAUUCCUUGUCGGGUAAGUUCCGACCCG
This 1964-nucleotide ribosomal RNA is filed under the name human gut metagenome. RNAcentral describes it as "bacterial LSU rRNA". It matches the Rfam family "Bacterial large subunit ribosomal RNA", at positions 3 to 1990 of the family's 2925-position model. The record is from RNAcentral.